GAACCCAAGUCUACCAGCCU
Molecule: unclassified non-coding RNA, 20 nt
Filed under: Mus musculus (house mouse)
Lineage: Eukaryota; Metazoa; Chordata; Mammalia; Rodentia; Muridae
Description: oocyte_clustered_small_RNA6676
Source: RNAcentral